CAAGUUCAAGCUCUUUGUGCCCUAGAGGACUAACCUAAGAACUCAUCAUGAAAUUUAGACUGAAUUGGAUUUUCCUUCUGAAUAUUUUCCAAGGUGUCCAAUGUGAUGUGCAGCUGGUGGAGUCUGGAGGAGAUGUGAGACAGCCUGGAGGAUCUCUGCAUCUCUCCUGCAAAGCUUCUGGAUUUAUCUUCAGUAGCUACUGGAUGAACUGGGUCCGUCAAGCUCCAAGGAAGGGACUGGAAUGGGUUGCAACAAUUACCAAUGGUGGUAGUAGUACAUACUAUGCAGACUCUGUGAAAGGUCGAUUCACCAUCUCCAGAGAUGAUGGCAACAGCAUGUUACAUUUACAGAUGAAUUCCCUUACUACUGGGGAUACAGCUUUGUAUUACUGUGCAAGAGACACAAUGAGGAAAAGGAAUGUGCUCUUUCAUCCUGGGGCUGUACCUUCCUGCACUUAA
Non-coding RNA from Trichosurus vulpecula (common brushtail), 458 nucleotides. Lineage: Eukaryota; Metazoa; Chordata; Mammalia; Diprotodontia; Phalangeridae. The record is from the annotation of a RefSeq genome assembly.